This 407-nucleotide ribosomal RNA is filed under the name uncultured Pimelobacter sp. RNAcentral describes it as "bacterial SSU rRNA". It matches the Rfam family "Bacterial small subunit ribosomal RNA", at positions 355 to 774 of the family's 1533-position model. The record is from RNAcentral. Lineage: Bacteria; Bacillati; Actinomycetota; Actinomycetes; Propionibacteriales; Nocardioidaceae.
UGGGGAAUAUUGGACAAUGGGCGGAAGCCUGAUCCAGCAACGCCGCGUGAGGGAUGACGGCCUUCGGGUUGUAAACCUCUUUCAGUACCGACGAAGCGUGAGUGACGGUAGGUACAGAAGAAGGACCGGCCAACUACGUGCCAGCAGCCGCGGUAAUACGUAGGGUCCGAGCGUUGUCCGGAAUUAUUGGGCGUAAAGGGCUCGUAGGCGGUUUGUCGCGUCGGGAGUGAAAACACCGGGCUUAACUCGGUGCUUGCUUUCGAUACGGGCAGACUAGAGGUAUGCAGGGGAGAAUGGAAUUCCUGGUGUAGCGGUGAAAUGCGCAGAUAUCAGGAGGAACACCGGUGGCGAAGGCGGUUCUCUGGGCAUUACCUGACGCUGAGGAGCGAAAGUGUGGGGAGCGAACA